UUAUAUGCAAAUGUAACUUGAAUAAGAAUGCGAAAAUUAGUAACAUGUCUCUCUCAUACAUAGGACCUACAUCCAAAUAUCAGGCACGACGUCUGGGACGGCGUUCCGAGGGUGCCUGUGGCGUGGUCCAGCCAUACCUAUGAGGUGGCACUACGUUGCGCAGAGGAAUAACGGACCCAUCCUCACGAUACUGUGUAUCCUCCUGUGUGGGGUCUGGUGGCGGAGUACUGAACAUCUAGCUGUGUUGGACAGAAUAGUCCUCUCCUUGAGCGUGAUCCUGCUCACUACCCCACGAGGGUUCGGACAACGACGACU
RNAcentral lists this long non-coding RNA (315 nucleotides) under Brachypodium distachyon (stiff brome). RNAcentral describes it as "long non-coding RNA (BDIS_LNC002182)". Lineage: Eukaryota; Viridiplantae; Streptophyta; Magnoliopsida; Poales; Poaceae. The record is from RNAcentral.